ACACGUACAGUUUGUGGAGUGGACCCGGGGCUUUGUGUGUUUGUGAUCAGUCUUGGUGUUGAGGAUUUCUCAUGUUCAGCUCCCAACCAACAAAGUCUGAGCUAAAACUCUUCCUGUAGCCACGUGUGCUUUGCAUUCUGCAGCAAAGUUCUACAGAUGUGCAAAGAUCUGGGCGAGCAAUGAGCUGUGACAUCAACAUGAACUUUCUGUUUCCUCCAAAAGUCCACAGCACUUCCUGUUGUUGCUCAGACGUGACUGAUAACUAGAAUUGAAUAGAACUAUUUGAAAUGACUUAGCUUUAGCUGUAUGCUAGCUACACUCUACAGUGACUUUCAGCUCAACUUCUUUUGCCACCAGGAUGUUUCCCUCAAAGAUGCUUGUAGGUGGAUCUGACUGUGGUCAAUCAACACCUGCGCCUUGCCGCCCUGAUCAGAUACCCAGCUGGGAUAAUGAGCUCGCCAAAGGAGAAGACUGAAAGCACUGACACGAGGAAGGGACGAGUCAGAGGACCAGUGAGUGUCAGCAGAACCACUGUUCAGGACGAGACCACAGACAUCAGCCACAACUGACCAUGUACUUAGUGAAAACCUCAGACAGCAGAAAGCAGAGAAAGAGGAGGAGCAAGGAGAGCAGCCAUGAUGGAAGGACAGGGACAGAGUUCAUGUUCAUGGACAUCAGGAUAAAAACAGAAGAUGGAAACCUGCCAGAUUUGAGCUGCUCAUGUGUCGUCCCUGGGCAGGUCACAUGACUCUAUCCAACACACAAAGACACACAGACACACAAGAAAAGCCAGAGAAACAAAGACAAAUCCAAACAAUCCAUCAUACUGAGUUAAAGUGAUCACA
Oreochromis niloticus (Nile tilapia) is the source of this 845-nucleotide long non-coding RNA. RefSeq lists it as uncharacterized. The transcript has 2 exons. The record is from RefSeq and is a predicted model, not a curated record. Lineage: Eukaryota; Metazoa; Chordata; Actinopteri; Cichliformes; Cichlidae.